UACGAGUGCCCCAAGCGUUGUCCGGAAUCACUGGGCGUAAAGGGUGCGUAGGUGGUUGGAUUAGUCAGGGCUUAAAUCCUGGGGCUUAACCCUAGGGCUGGCUCUGAAACGGUCCGACUAGAGGUUGUCAGAGGUAAGCGGAACUCAUAGUGUAGGGGUGAAAUCCGUUGAUAUUAUGGGGAACACCAAAAGCGAAGGCAGCUUACUGGGACACACCUGACACUGAGGCACGAAAGCGUGGGUAGCGAAUGGG
This 253-nucleotide unclassified non-coding RNA is filed under the name uncultured Parcubacteria group bacterium. RNAcentral describes it as "contains 16S-23S intergenic spacer region". It matches the Rfam family "Bacterial small subunit ribosomal RNA", at positions 524 to 776 of the family's 1533-position model. The record is from RNAcentral.